AGUGGCGUACGGGUGAGUAACACGUGGAUCAUCUACCUCUUGAUGGGGAAUAACGCUGGGAAACCGGCGCUAAUACCGCAUAAGCCUGAAAAGGGAAAGCAGCAAUGCGUCAAGAGAGGAGUCCGCGGCCGAUUAGCUAGUUGGUAGGGUAAUGGCCUACCAAGGCAAUGAUCGGUAGCCGGCCUGAGAGGGCACACGGCCACACUGGCACUGAAACACGGGCCAAACUCCUACGGGAGGCAGCAGUGGGGAGUCUUGCACAAUGGAGGAAACUCUGAUGCAGCGACGCCGCGUGAGCGAUGAAGCCCUUCGGGGUGUAAAGCUCUUUCGGCAGGAACGAUAAUGACGGUACCUGCGGAAAAAGCUGCGGCUAACUACGUGGCCAGCAGCCGCGGUAAUACGUAGGCAGCAAGCGUUGUUCGAAAUUACGGGGGGGAAAAAAGGGGGUAGGCCGGUUUCCCUAAGUUCCGUGGGAAAUCCCCCGGCUUAACUGGGGAGGGGGGCCCGA
This 508-nucleotide ribosomal RNA is filed under the name uncultured bacterium. RNAcentral describes it as "bacterial SSU rRNA". It matches the Rfam family "Bacterial small subunit ribosomal RNA", at positions 94 to 630 of the family's 1533-position model. The record is from RNAcentral.